ACUUUCUUAGUAUAACUAAUACAGAUGACUUCCAAUUAUCUAAUCUUGAUUAAUCUCAGGAGAAAGUA
RNAcentral lists this transfer RNA (68 nucleotides) under Phrynobatrachus keniensis (Kenya river frog). RNAcentral describes it as "tRNA-Gly". The record is from RNAcentral. Lineage: Eukaryota; Metazoa; Chordata; Amphibia; Anura; Phrynobatrachidae.